RNAcentral lists this ribosomal RNA (257 nucleotides) under uncultured bacterium. Its description in RNAcentral is "partial 16S ribosomal RNA". It matches the Rfam family "Bacterial small subunit ribosomal RNA", at positions 96 to 354 of the family's 1533-position model. The record is from RNAcentral.
UGGCGGACGGGUGAGUAACGCGUGGGUAACCUGCCUCACACAGGGGGAUAACAGUUGGAAACGACCGCUAAUACCGCAUAACCCGCUGGUACCGCAUGGUACUGACGGAAAAGAUUUAUCGGUGUGAGAUGGACCCGCGUCUGAUUAGCCAGUUGGCAGGGUAACGGCCUACCAAAGCGACGAUCAGUAGCCGGCCUGAGAGGGUGAACGGCCACAUUGGGACUGAGACACGGCCAAACUCCUACGGAAGGCAGCAG